Molecule: ribosomal RNA, 393 nt
Filed under: uncultured bacterium
Lineage: Bacteria
Description: partial 16S ribosomal RNA
Rfam family: Bacterial small subunit ribosomal RNA
Source: RNAcentral
AUACGGAGGACGCGAGCGUUAUCCGGAUUCAUUGGGUUUAAAGGGUGCGCAGGCGGCCGUGCAAGUCAGCGGUGAAAGCCCGGGGCUCAACCCCGGAAGUGCCGUUGAUACUGCAUGGCUGGAAUGCGGUCGAGGCGGGCGGAACGUGGCGUGUAGCGGUGAAAGACGUAGAUAUGCCACAGAACGCCGAGAGCGGGGGCAGCGCGGCGGGCCUGCAUUGACGCUCGGGCACGAAAGCGUGGGGAUCGAACAGGAUUAGAUACCCUGGUAGUCCACGCCGUAAACGAUGGGCGCUCGUCGUCGGCGGCAGACAGUCGGCGGCCAAGCGAAAGCGAUAAGCGCCCCACCUGGGGAGUACGGUCGCAAGGCUGAAACUCAAAUGAAUUGACGGGG